GACGAACGCUGGCGGCGUGCUUAACACAUGCAAGUCGAACGGAAAGGCCCUGCUUUUGUGGGGGGCUCGAGUGGCGAAAGGGUGAGUAACACGUGAGUAACCUGCCCUUGACUUUGGGAUAACUUCAGGAAACUGGGGCUAAUACCGGAUAGGAGCUCCUGCUGCAUGGUGGGGGUUGGAAAGUUUCGGCGGUUGGGGAUGGACUCGCGGCUUAUCAGCUUGUUGGUGGGGUAGUGGCUUACCAAGGCUUUGACGGGUAGCCGGCCUGAGAGGGUGACCGGCCACAUUGGGACUGAGAUACGGCCCAGACUCCUACGGGAGGCAGCAGUGGGGAAUAUUGCACAAUGGGCGGAAGCCUGAUGCAGCAACGCCGCGUGCGGGAUGACGGCCUUCGGGUUGUAAACCGCUUUCGCAUGUGACGAAGCGUGAGUGACGGUAAUGGGUAAAGAAGCACCGGCUAACUACGUG
This 468-nucleotide ribosomal RNA is filed under the name uncultured bacterium. RNAcentral describes it as "partial 16S ribosomal RNA". It matches the Rfam family "Bacterial small subunit ribosomal RNA", at positions 28 to 507 of the family's 1533-position model. The record is from RNAcentral.